This 253-nucleotide ribosomal RNA is filed under the name uncultured prokaryote. RNAcentral describes it as "partial 16S ribosomal RNA". It matches the Rfam family "Bacterial small subunit ribosomal RNA", at positions 524 to 776 of the family's 1533-position model. The record is from RNAcentral.
UACGAGGGGUGCAAGCGUUGUUCGGAAUUACUGGGCGUAAAGUGUGCGCAGGCGGCCGAGCAAGUCGAGUGUGAAAGCCCCGGGCUUAACUUGGGAAUUGCGCUCGAAACUACUUGGCUCGAGUGUGGCAGAGGAAGGUGGAAUUCCACGUGUAGCGGUGAAAUGCGUAGAGAUGUGGAGGAACACCGAUGGCGAAGGCAGCCUUCUGGGCCAACACUGACGCUCAUGCACGAAAGCGUGGGGAGUAAACAGG